This is a long non-coding RNA of Solanum tuberosum (potato), 2041 nucleotides long. RefSeq lists it as uncharacterized. The transcript is spliced from 5 exons. The record is from RefSeq and is a predicted model, not a curated record. Lineage: Eukaryota; Viridiplantae; Streptophyta; Magnoliopsida; Solanales; Solanaceae.
UUUCUACCAAAAUUUUAACAUAUUUUGUUAGAUUUAUGUAUGAAUUGUUCAGUAAUCUCUAUUUAUAUUUUUUUUUCAACUUUGUAGAACUAAGGCUUAAAUUCAACCAAAAGAGUCAAUUCUAGUUCUACCCAUUUCCAUGCCUAGUUGAGUUUGUAUUUUGCUUCCUAUGACCACUGCUAUAGGAGCUCUGUGGUUUUGUCUUUCAGUGGUUUGACUUCUUCUUCCUUUUUCAAAUUUUUGGAAUAAUUAGUAUAAUUUGUGUAAAAUAACGAAAGAAAGUUAGGAAAUUAAACUGUCGCUGGUUGUGAAAUUGUUGAUAUAGAUGGACAACCGUAUCUAUAAAUAGAUUGGCUACCCAAGUGAACUACAAAUCAUCUUAUUACUACAUUUAGUUAAGUGGUAAAGGAGGAAGGCAAGAAAAAGGGAAGAUAAAGUAAUAGACAACAAGUUUAUUUUAUUCUUUAGUUCGUUUCAAGUGGUUGAAUGAAAUAAAAUAAAUUGUGAAGGCUACUAUAUGACUUGGGUGUGUGUAUGUCUUUUCGAUAAGUUGGACCUGUGUGCAGUGUGUAUACAUACACGAAUUUGUUCUAAAAAGAAUUCUUUUUAGUUCGACUCGUAUCCCUCUCAUGACACAAAAUCUUACUUAUAUUGUUUAAGUAAACAAUCGAACUUUUAACAUGCAAUGUCAGUUUCUUUCAUAUUUAGUAUUAUUUCAUUAUGUUGAUUCUAUUCUAUAAAUUCAUUUUGCAUUGGAUUCUCAAAAAAUGACUGUCCAGCAGCUGAAAUUAAGCCCACCAAAGAGAUGUCAUUGACUUCAAGGAACUUAAGUUAGUUGAUCACAUUCUUGCUUCUCUGCAACGGAAGAUGAAUUUCCUGAAUGCACUGCUGCAAUUUUCAGUGGGGUUUUGCCUGUAGUGUAAGCCAUUUGGUCAUCAGCUCCGAGUCAACUUCCAGAAGGACCUUCAUGUAACCAUGUUGAGUGCACCAUUAGAGCCCCUGAAUUGCAGCUUGUAGUUCUACUUGGUUGUUAGUUCCUGUGCCAAGUGGUACUGCAAAGGCAUAAAUCAUCCUGCCCUGAGAAUCCCUCAAGAUACCUCCUCCAAUUUUUCCGGGGUUACCUAAGACAUUUCCAUCAGUAUUCAGUUUGUAGAUGUUGUUGGAAGGUUUACUUCACACAACUUUACUGAUUUUCAUCUCUUGACUACACCUCUCCACCAUAGUGAUCAGGUCCUCCAACUGUUAGGACAUUGCAGGUAUGGGAAAACAGUGUGUAGUAGAAGAGUAAGGUCUUGGUACACCAAAUAUUUAACCCUCUUGCUGCUCGACUGUUUGUUCCCAUAUUUUGCCGAGCACCUAUUCUUCCAUGUAUUCCAACAAAUACAGAUAGGAAGUGCCUGGAGAACAGUUUUAAGUACUUCAUUGUGAGCUUUCACAAACCACCAUCUCAUCAGAGUACUUUUGAGGGGAGUCUGGCUAUGUUGAUCCCUAAGUCUGCUGAAAAAUAUUGCCAUAUAUGAUUGGCAAGGUGACCUGAUACAAAGAUAUGGUCAAUGUUGUCCCAACCUUUUCUGAUACAGCAAAAGCACCAGCAAAUGCACCUGGCAGGUUCAACUCCAAAAGAAAUGAGUUUAUCAUUGGUAGAUGGCGAGAUCUGAAUAGGAGACCAGGAAAUUAAAAUUUGUAGAGCUGAUGAAUAAGCACUUCGCUUCAAGUGUAGUUCCUAAAGAUGAAAGUAUCAACUAUUCAUUAUGGUGUAAUUGACUUUGUUGUAGUAGAGAAGCUUGGCCUAGAAAAUACAAGUUCUCGCUCGGCUAUGUGGUUUUCUUCAGGAGAAUGGUGAUGCAAUUGACGAUGGUGGCAGAAAGUUAAUUUGAUCUAUUAAUGCGCAUGAUGAAGACUUUUGAAUAAUUAGGAUGUCUAUUAAUUUUAAAGUUCAUUGUUAGUGGGAAUUUUGAUACAUAUAUUUUAUUAGUAUGUUUAGUACAGGACCAAGUGAAGUCAAAUUGCAAGUAUAUAUAAAUUUGAUUUAUUUUUUUGA